UCCGGCUUAUCACCGGCAGUCCCUCUAGAGUGCCCAACUAAAUGAUGGCAACUAAAGGCGAGGGUUGCGCUCGUUGCGGGACUUAACCCAACAUCUCACGUCACGAGCUGACGACAGCCAUGCAGCACCUGUACAAGUUCGCCUUGCGGCACCCUGACUUUCAUCAGGAUUAACUUGCGUUUCAAGCCUAGGUAAGGUUCUUCGCGUUGCGUCGAAUUAAACCACAUGCUCCACUGCUUGUGCGGGCCCCCGUCAAUUCCUUUGAGUUUUAGCCUUGCGGCCGUACUCCCCAGGCGGGGCACUUAACACAUUAGCUACGGCAGAGAAGACAUAGGAAUCCCCCCUGCCCAGUGCCCAUCGUUUACGGCUAGGACUAC
This 377-nucleotide unclassified non-coding RNA is filed under the name uncultured bacterium. RNAcentral's name for it is "contains 16S-23S intergenic spacer region". The record is from RNAcentral.